UACGAGGGGGGCGAGCGUUGUCCGGAAUUAUUGGGCGUAAAGAGCUCGUAGGCGGUUUGUUGCGUCGGCUGUGAAAUCCCGAGGCUCAACCUCGGGUCUGCAGUCGAUACGAGCAAACUAGAGUGUUGCAGGGGAGACUGGAAUUCCUGGUGUAGCGGUGAAAUGCGCAGAUAUCAGGAGGAACACCAAUGGCGAAGGCAGCCCGCUGGAACGGUACUGACGCUGAGGCGCGAAAGCGUGGGGAGCGAACAGG
This 253-nucleotide ribosomal RNA is filed under the name uncultured bacterium. RNAcentral's name for it is "partial 16S ribosomal RNA". It matches the Rfam family "Bacterial small subunit ribosomal RNA", at positions 524 to 776 of the family's 1533-position model. The record is from RNAcentral.